AUUGAACGCUGGCGGCAUGCCUUACACAUGCAAGUCGAACGGUAGAGUAGCAAUACUUGAGAGUGGCGAACGGGUGAGUAAUGCAUCGGAACAUGCCCAGUCGUGGGGGAUAACGUAGCGAAAGUUACGCUAAUACCGCAUACGAUCUAUGGAUGAAAGCGGGGGACUCGCAAGAGCCUCGCGCGAUUGGAGUGGCCGAUGUCAGAUUAGGUAGUUGGUGGGGUAAAAGCCCACCAAGCCAACGAUCUGUAGCUGGUCUGAGAGGACGACCAGCCACACUGGGACUGAGACACGGCCCAGACUCCUACGGGAGGCAGCAGUGGGGAAUUUUGGACAAUGGACGAAAGUCUGAUCCAGCAAUGCCGCGUGCAGGACGAAGGCCUUCGGGUUGUAAACUGCUUUUGUACGGAGCGAAAAGCUUUGGAUUAAUACUCCGAGGUCAUGACGGUACCGUAAGAAUAAGCACCGGCUAACUACGUGCCAGCCGCCGCAGUAA
Molecule: ribosomal RNA, 496 nt
Filed under: uncultured bacterium
Lineage: Bacteria
Description: partial 16S ribosomal RNA
Rfam family: Bacterial small subunit ribosomal RNA
Source: RNAcentral